AAUAUAAAUAAAUACUCGAUGACAGGGAAAAAAUAAGUGAUUUCGGGAAAAUCCCCGAAUCCCAGAUGAACUCCGAUCGGUUUGAAAAACCCUGACCUUUCAUGAUGUUUUCAAUCACCUGAGAAACUUUUCUGGAUCUCGUGUGCCGAAUCUCUUGAUUGAUCGUUUUUCUAGGGUUUUUCUUUUUUCUCUGUCGUUUGAUUUCGUCCAAACAUGGAAGGGAACAAAGACGACGCUUUGAAGUGCCUGAAAAUCGGCAAGGAUGCAAUGGGGGCCGGAGAUCGAGCUCGGGCUUUGAAAUUCUUGACGAAAGCUCGUCGUCUUGAUCCUAGCCUCCCGAUCGGUGAUCUCGUAUCGGAGCUCGAGACUCAAUCCAAUGAUCCAGAGGCGGAGAGUUCGUCUGGACACGUCGCCAAGGAGUCGCCAAUGGCGCCGGAUCGGCCUUCCUUGCGGCAACGUGGACCGGCGGCUUCUGCGGCUGCGGGAUCAUCAUCAUCGCCGGCAUCGGCAUCGGCUUCGGCUUCUUACACUGAAGAACAGAUCGCGAUCGUGAGACAGAUAAAGUCGAAGAAGGAUUAUUACGAGAUUCUAGGGUUAGAAAAGAACUGUUCAGUGGAAGAUGUGAGAAAGGCAUAUCGGAAACUCUCCUUGAAGGUUCAUCCCGACAAGAACAAGGCCCCUGGUUCAGAAGAAACGUUCAAAGCUGUGUCGAAGGCGUUUCAGUGCCUAAGCAACGAGGAGACGCGGAAAAAGUACGAUAUCAGCGGUUCCGAUGAAUCCGUUUGUGAACCUCGCCGGGCCGCAAGGAGAAACGGGUUCAAUGGCUAUUACGACGAUGAAUUCGACGCCGACGAGAUUUUCCGAAGCUUCUUCUUCGGCGGAAUGCCACCUGCAACUGCCCAAUUCGGUACAUUCAAUUUCGGCGGCGGAAUGGGCGGUCACAGAACCGCCAAUACCGCAUCUGAUGCAGGGUUCAAUGCCCGUGUUCUUCUUCAGUUCCUUCCUGUUCUGCUUAUACUUCUGCUCAGUUUCCUGCCUUCUUCACAGCCAGUUUAUUCGCUGUCUGGGUCAUACCCUUAUGAGUACAAAUUCACGACGAGCAGGGGCGUCAAUUACUUUGUGAGAUCAUCCAAGUUCGAGCAGGAUUACCCACUUAAUAGCCCCGAGCGGCAGAGGGUAGAAGCACAAGUUGAGAGAGAUUAUUACUCUAUAGUGUCUCAGAAUUGUCGGUACGAGCUGCAGAGGCAACAAUGGGGUUUUAUCCGUGAAACCCCACACUGUGACAUGUUGCAGAAGUUCGAGACGGCUGCCUCUUAAACCAAGAUUGACAUAAGUCUAUGAUUGUGGAGUAUGCUUCGGAAGUACAUUAAACUCGAAGAAACUUGGUUGGAUCAAUGACAGGGACACACAUGGCGGAAGAAGGAAUUUGCAUUGAUGACCAGACAAGCGCUCUCUUCGUCACCAUUUAUGAACUGCUCCGAAAAUUCGAAUCUGGUUGCUAUCAUCGCGGUGGCAUUGUUGAACGGAAAUCCUUUUUCCCCCGUUCAAAUCUGGGUCGAGUUCUUGAGUUUUGCAAGGGAAAAGACUCUAUUCCCAUAAAAGGGUAGAGAUCUUGGGUUUUGGGUUUCUUGUUUUGGUGGAUCUAUCAUUCCAGGUAUAUGUACAUUUUUGUUUUUUAUUGUGUUUUGUUUCUGUCAUUUUCAGGUUUGCUUCUUUCUGUUUUGCAAAAAUAAUUUUCAGUUGGUUUUUUUUAUUCGGUUCGGAUCUAUUCGAGUCGGUUUUAAUAUUGUUCAUGUCCUAAGAAAAUUUUCGGUUUUUAUUUGAUUUUUUAACGUUCAAAGUUUUGUUAAUUUUGGUUUUAGAAAAGUAAUAU
Tarenaya hassleriana is the source of this 1873-nucleotide RNA transcript. It is a transcript of the gene named chaperone protein dnaJ 49, with no coding region annotated. The record is from RefSeq and is a predicted model, not a curated record. The transcript has 3 exons. NCBI's taxonomy places the organism in Eukaryota, Viridiplantae, Streptophyta, Magnoliopsida, Brassicales, Cleomaceae.